UUUUAAGACGACCACGUAAAGUUUUCAUCUAAAAAUAAAGUAACUGAUAUAUAUUCGUAUAUAGUACGUGGCAUUUUUAUUCAAAAUACUUUCCAGUUAGUAAUUAGACAAUCAUAAUUUCAAUUUAACCGUUUAAAUUUUAAAACUUUCUUAAAUAAAAAAAAUUUUCAAUAAUUAAAAAAUGAUAACAGUUAACUCAUUAAUAGCAGCGACAUUGGUAUAUUUCUUAAUACAAUUAUUAGGAGUCUCUCCAGAUUCUGGAGUUUCAGAAUGGGUGGACAGUGAUGAAGAUUCGUGUUUUUUUUUCGGUGAUUCACAAGGUAA
Molecule: long non-coding RNA, 324 nt
Organism: Daktulosphaira vitifoliae (grape phylloxera)
Lineage: Eukaryota; Metazoa; Arthropoda; Insecta; Hemiptera; Phylloxeridae
Exons: 6
Source: RefSeq, a predicted model, not a curated record